GUGAAUUUCCACUGUUGUGAUAAAGAAGGACUGCAGAUCUCAACAGUGAGACCACCAUUUUUGGCAUUUCGGCUGUCUAGACAGAGGUUGCUGCCAACGUGCCUCAGUUUAGAGUUGCUUUCAAUUUGUUCCCAUUUCUGUCUGCUGUCAUUUUCCCUGCAGCCCUGAAGUUUUAUUAGUGAACCAGGUGCUCUGUCCACAACAGUAAGGCACAAAUCCAUGUGUUUUACUGACUUGUCCUUUGUUAGGGCCCAUUCCUGAUUUCCUCCGGCAUUAUGACAUUCA
RNAcentral lists this long non-coding RNA (285 nucleotides) under Gallus gallus (chicken). The record is from RNAcentral. Lineage: Eukaryota; Metazoa; Chordata; Aves; Galliformes; Phasianidae.